Microcebus murinus (gray mouse lemur) is the source of this 1545-nucleotide non-coding RNA. The record is from RefSeq and is a predicted model, not a curated record. NCBI's taxonomy places the organism in Eukaryota, Metazoa, Chordata, Mammalia, Primates, Cheirogaleidae.
GGUAGGAAGCUUGGGAAUGUUAAAGAGCAUGCAAUAUCAAUGUAGGAUGCUACUCCAGAAAAUACUUUACCUUACAUGUGGAGUUCCUUCAAUAGAUGUCUCCCCCAAACCUAGGGGCCCUUAUUCCCUGCUAAGAAGACUUACUCUGGACACUGAGGCAAGAAGAUCGCCAGAGACCAGGAGUUGGAGACCAGCCUGGGCAAGAUAGCAAGACCCCUUCUCUAAAAAAAAAAAAAAAAAAAAAAAGCCAGGCAUGGUAGUUGCCUCUAUAGUCCCAACUAUGCAGAAUGAUGAGGUGGUAGGAUCCCUUAAGCCCAGCAAUUCUCGUUUGCAGUGAGCUAUGGAUUAGACUGCUGCACUUCAGCCCCGGGAAACACAGCAAGACCCCCCCACCUUCUCAAAAAACAAACAAAAAAGACUAAGAAACCUCACCUGGGUCAGGGUUUUUAGAGCUAGAUUUGAAUCUUGACUGAGCCACUUACAAACUAGGCAAAUCACUUGCUUUCCCAAAGCUUCAUUUUGAAAAUAGAGCUAGUAGUACACUGCAGCUGGCUUUUACGAGUUUGCAAGGUAGCUUGCUAAAUUUUUAGGCAUUUCAUGAGCCAGUUGUUAUGCACAACCAUUAUUAAAAAUCAGGCCGAGCUUCUCCCAGAAAACACCAAAUGGCAGGUGACGAUGGCGCAGCCAGAGGCCCUGGGGGCUUCCUAGAAUGGGAGGGCGCAGCGGCUUCCGUGGAGUGGAGGCUUCGGUGGCGGCGGCAAUUCCUGUUGGUGGUUGGGGCCGGGGCGAGGCCACGGAGCUGGCGGAGGCAAGGCAGAGGACGAGGAGUGGAUGCCCGUCACCAAGCUGGGCUGCCUGGUUAAGGACAUGAAGAUCAAAUCCCUGGAGGAGAUCUAUCUGUUCUCCUUGCCUAUCAAAGAGUCUGAGAUCAUUGAUUUUUCCCUGGGAGCAACUAUCAAAGAUGAGGUUUUGAAGAUUAUUAUGCCAGUGCAAAAGCAGACCCGCGCUGGCCAACGGACCAGGUUCAAGGCGUUUAUUGCCAUCGGGGACUACAAUGGCCACGUUGGUCUAGGUGUUGAGUGCUCCAAGGAGGUAGCCACUGCCAUCCGACAGGCCAUCAUCCUGGCCAAGCUCUCCAUUGUCCCCAUGCGGAGAGGCUACUGGGGGAACAAGAUGGGCAAGCCCCACACUGUUCCUUGCAAGGUGACAGGCCUCUGCAUCUCUGUGCUGGUGCGUCUCAUCCCUGCCCCUAGAGGAACUGGCAUCCUCUCAGCCCCUGUGCCCAAGAAGCUGCUGAUGAUGGCUGGUAUCGAUGACUGCUACACUUCAGCCAGGGGCUGCACUGCCACCCUGGGCAACUUCGCAAAGGCCACCUUUGAUGCCAUCUCCAAGACCUAUAGCUAUCUGACUCCUGACCUCUGGAAAGAGACAAUAUUCACCAAGUCUCCCUACCAGGAAUUCACCAACCAUCUUGUCAAGACCCACACCGGAGUCUCCCUGCAGAGGACCCAGGCGUCAGCUGUGGCUACAACAUAGCAUUUUUAU